RNAcentral lists this transfer RNA (88 nucleotides) under Streptomyces thermodiastaticus. Its description in RNAcentral is "tRNA-Leu". RNAcentral also lists the same sequence under 2 other names. Lineage: Bacteria; Bacillati; Actinomycetota; Actinomycetes; Kitasatosporales; Streptomycetaceae. The record is from RNAcentral.
CCUGGUUGAGCUUCUGGACGUAGCCGUCGAUCAGCUCGACGGUCUGCGGGGCGGCGACGACCUCGGCGUACGACUUGCCGGCCAGGCC